RNAcentral lists this ribosomal RNA (253 nucleotides) under uncultured bacterium. RNAcentral describes it as "partial 16S ribosomal RNA". It matches the Rfam family "Bacterial small subunit ribosomal RNA", at positions 524 to 776 of the family's 1533-position model. The record is from RNAcentral.
UACGAAGGGUGCAAACGUUGCUCGGAAUCAUUGGGCGUAAAGCGCACGUAGGCGGCCUGUUAAGUCGGAUGUGAAAUCCCUCGGCUCAACCGAGGACGUGCAUUCGAAACUGGCAGGCUCGAGUAUGGAAGAGGGUCGCGGAAUUCCCGGUGUAGAGGUGAAAUUCGUAGAUAUCGGGAGGAACACCAGUGGCGAAGGCGGCGACCUGGGCCAAUACUGACGCUGAGGUGCGAAAGCGUGGGGAGCGAACAGG